AGGAACGCGUGGAUAAUCUGCCUUAGAGUGGGGGAUAACUAGUCGAAAGAUUAGCUAAUACCGCAUAAGACCACAAGAACUGCGGUUCAAGGGGUCAAAGGUUUUUCGCUCUAAGAUGAGUCCGCGUAAGAUUAGCUAGUUGGUGAGGUAACGGCUCACCAAGGCGACGAUCUUUAACUGGUCUGAGAGGAUGAUCAGUCACACUGGAACUGAGACACGGUCCAGACUCCUACGGGAGGCAGCAGUAGGGAAUAUUGCACAAUGGAGGAAACUCUGAUGCAGCGACGCCGCGUGAGUGAUGAAGGCCUUCGGGUCGUAAAGCUCUGUCGCAGGGGAAUAACACAAUGAAGGUACCCUGUAAGAAAGGAUCGGCUAACUUCGUGCCAGCAGCCGCGGUAAGACGAGGGAUCCUAGCGUUGUUCGGAAUCAUUGGGCGUAAAGCGGGUGUAGGUGGCUUUGUAAGUCGGGUGUGAAAGCCUGGGGCUUAACCCCAGAAGUGCAUUCGAUACUGCGAAGCUUGAGUGGUAGAGAGGAUAGUAGAAUUGUUGGUGUAGUGGUGAAAUACGUAGAUAUCAACAGGAAUACCGGAGGCGAAGGCGGCUAUCUGGCUACACACUGACACUCAGACCCGAAAGCGUGGGGAUCAAACAGGAUUAGAUACCCUGGUAGUCCACGCCA
RNAcentral lists this ribosomal RNA (678 nucleotides) under Bdellovibrio sp. ETA. RNAcentral's name for it is "bacterial SSU rRNA". It matches the Rfam family "Bacterial small subunit ribosomal RNA", at positions 109 to 802 of the family's 1533-position model. The record is from RNAcentral. Lineage: Bacteria; Pseudomonadati; Bdellovibrionota; Bdellovibrionia; Bdellovibrionales; Pseudobdellovibrionaceae.